UACGAAGGGUGCAAGCGUUAAUCGGAAUUACUGGGCGUAAAGCGUGCGUAGGUGGUUUGUUAAGUCUGCUGUGAAAGCCCUGGGCUCAACCUGGGAAUGGCGGUGGAUACUGACAAGCUAGAGUGCGGUAGAGGAGGGUGGAAUUCCCGGUGUAGUGGUGGAAUGCGUAGAGAUCGGGAGGAACACCAGUGGCGAAAGCGGCUCUCUGGUCCAAAACUGACGCUGAGGGGCGAAAGCGUGGGGAGCGAACGGG
This 253-nucleotide ribosomal RNA is filed under the name uncultured bacterium. RNAcentral describes it as "partial 16S ribosomal RNA". It matches the Rfam family "Bacterial small subunit ribosomal RNA", at positions 524 to 776 of the family's 1533-position model. The record is from RNAcentral.